GAUGAACGCUGGCGGCGUGCCUAAUACAUGCAAGUCGAGCGAACGGACGAGAAGCUUGCUUCUCUGAUGUUAGCGGCGGACGGGUGAGUAACACGUGGAUAACCUACCUAUAAGACUGGGAUAACUUCGGGAAACCGGAGCUAAUACCGGAUAAUAUUUUGAACCGCAUGGUUCAAAAGUGAAAGACGGUCUUGCUGUCACUUAUAGAUGGAUCCGCGCUGCAUUAGCUAGUUGGUAAGGUAACGGCUUACCAAGGCAACGAUGCAUAGCCGACCUGCGAGGGUGAUCGGCCACACUGGAACGGAGACACGGUCCAGACUCCUACGGGAGGCAGCAGUAGGGAAUCUUCCGCAAUGGGCGAAAGCCUGACGGAGCAACGCCGCGUGAGUGAUGAAGGUCUUCGGAUCGUAAAACUCUGUUAUUAGGGAAGAACAUAUGUGUAAGUAACUGUGCACAUCUUGACGGUACCUAAUCAGAAAGCCACGGCUAACUACGUG
Molecule: ribosomal RNA, 497 nt
Filed under: uncultured bacterium
Lineage: Bacteria
Description: partial 16S ribosomal RNA
Rfam family: Bacterial small subunit ribosomal RNA
Source: RNAcentral